AGCAGCCGCGGUAAUUCCAGCUCCAAUAGCGUAUAUUAAAGUUGCUGCAGUUAAAAAGCUCGUAGUUGAAUUUCGGGACCAUCAUGUUGGUCGUGCCUCGGUACGUACUGGCAUUGUUGGUUUCUCCCUUCUGACGAACCAUGAUGUCAUUUAUUUGGUGUCGUGGGAAAUCAGGACUGUUACUUUGAAAAAUUAGAGUGUUUAAAGCAGGCUCACGCUUGAAUACAUUAGCAUGGAAUAAUGAAAUAGGACGUUUGAUUCUAUUUUGUUGGUUUCUAGGAUCGACGUAAUGAUUAAUAGGGAUAGUUGGGGGCAUUAGUAUUCAAUUGUCAGAGGUGAAAUUCUUGGAUUUAUUGAAGACUAACUACUGCGAAAGCAUUUGCCAAGGAUGUUUUCAUUAAUCAAGAACGAAAGUUAGGGGAUCGAAGACGAUCAGAUACCGUCGUAGUCUUAACCAUAAACGUAUGCCGACUAGGGAUCGGAUGAUGUUAAUUUUAUGA
Molecule: unclassified non-coding RNA, 500 nt
Filed under: uncultured Glomus
Lineage: Eukaryota; Fungi; Glomeromycota; Glomeromycetes; Glomerales; Glomeraceae
Description: SSU rRNA
Rfam family: Eukaryotic small subunit ribosomal RNA
Source: RNAcentral